UUUUUCAGACUUAGGUAUGAAGCUUUAUUGCAAAGUUUUGUCGCCACAAUCAGCAGAAGUGGAGCUGGAAGUAAACAGUGAAUGUGCAGUCAUUGAUCUGAUAGUUUUGAUGAAAGAAAAGUUGCCUUGGUUGCCAUCAGACUUCAAAAUUUUGCACAAAGGGAAAACUAUAAAAACCGAAGAUAGACUGUCGGAUACAAAGAUAUCAGAUGGCGAUAAGUUAGUGCUAAUGAUUCCCAAGGAAUCUGGUUUACUUAACCAGGAGAAAAUCUACCCUCUUGAAAACGAUCCUGAGAAGCUACUUUAUGCUAAUUUGCGAGCAAUUUGUCAGAAACAUUUAACCGAGCCUGCUGUCAACGAAUUUCUUCGUCAGUUUCAUCAGUUAUACAAAGAAUCAAUCAACUCACUCAGCCCAGACGACAUCGAAAGAAUAUGCUCCUAUCAGUUAAUGGAAGAUUGAACUUAGUUAACAUAUUUAUUUGAAAUUAUAUUGGGUGCUUUUGUUAGAUGUGUGCUGCGGCUUAGACCAGAAUAGUUUGUUUUAAAAAUCAGUUUCGUUUAAUGUAGACAUAUUUGUGCAACACAGGUAGUUAUAAGUUCAUGGAUGCUUUUUUGGAAAGAAAAAAUACUUUGAGAAUGUG
Molecule: long non-coding RNA, 641 nt
Organism: Symsagittifera roscoffensis
Lineage: Eukaryota; Metazoa; Xenacoelomorpha; Acoela; Convolutidae
Exons: 3
Source: RefSeq, a predicted model, not a curated record